GCCAGACUCCUACGGGAGGCAGCAGUGGGGAAUAUUGCACAAUGGGGGGAACCCUGAUGCAGCGACGCCGCGUGGGUGAAGAAGCGCCUCGGCGCGUAAAGCCCUGUCAGCAGGGAAGAAAAUGACGGUACCUGAAGAAGAAGCCCCGGCUAACUACGUGCCAGCAGCCGCGGUAAUACGUAGGGGGGCAAGCGUUAUCCGGAUUUACUGGGUGUAAAGGGGGCGCAGACGGCGAUGCAAGCCAGGAGUGAAAGCCCGGGGCCCAACCCCGGGACUGCUCUUGGAACUGCGUGGCUGGAGUGCAGGAGGGGCAGGCGGAAUUCCUGGUGUAGCGGUGAAAUGCGUAGAUAUCAGGAGGAACACCGGUGGCGAAGGCGGCCUGCUGGACUGCAACUGACGUUGAGGCCCGAAAGCGUGGGGAGCAAACAGGAUUAGAUACCCUAGUA
RNAcentral lists this ribosomal RNA (446 nucleotides) under uncultured bacterium. RNAcentral's name for it is "bacterial SSU rRNA". It matches the Rfam family "Bacterial small subunit ribosomal RNA", at positions 330 to 792 of the family's 1533-position model. The record is from RNAcentral.